GUGGGGAAUAUUGCACAAUGGGGGAAACCCUGAUGCAGCAACGCCGCGUGAAGGAAGAAGUAUCUCGGUAUGUAAACUUCUAUCAGCAGGGAAGAAAAUGACGGUACCUGACUAAGAAGCUCCGGCUAAAUACGUGCCAGCAGCCGCGGUAAUACGUAUGGAGCAAGCGUUAUCCGGAUUUACUGGGUGUAAAGGGAGCGUAGGCGGUUAUGCAAGUCAGAUGUGAAAGCCCGGGGCUUAACCCCGGGACUGCAUUUGAAACUGUGUAACUAGAGUGUCGGAGAGGUAAGUGGAAUUCCUAGUGUAGCGGUGAAAUGCGUAGAUAUUAGGAGGAACACCAGUGGCGAAGGCGGCUUACUGGACGAUAACUGACGCUGAGGCUCGAAAGCGUGGGGAGCAAACAGGAUUAGAUACCCCUGUAGUCC
This 425-nucleotide ribosomal RNA is filed under the name uncultured bacterium. Its description in RNAcentral is "bacterial SSU rRNA". It matches the Rfam family "Bacterial small subunit ribosomal RNA", at positions 354 to 796 of the family's 1533-position model. The record is from RNAcentral.